Long non-coding RNA from Oncorhynchus tshawytscha (Chinook salmon), 570 nucleotides. NCBI's taxonomy places the organism in Eukaryota, Metazoa, Chordata, Actinopteri, Salmoniformes, Salmonidae. The record is from Ensembl.
CCUAGCGGUUAGAGCGUAGGGGCGGCAGGUAGCCUAGUGGUUAGAGCGUAGGGACGGCAGGUAGCCUAGUGGUUAGAGCGUAGGGCGGCAGGGUAGCCUAGUGGUUAGAGCGUAGGGACGGCAGGUAGCCUAGUGGUUAGAGCGUAGGGGCGGCAGGGUAGCCUAGUGGUUAGAGCGUAGGGGCGGCAGGUAGCCUAGUGGUUUGUGCGUAGGGGUGGCAGGGUAGCCUAGUGGUUAGAGCGUAGGGGCGGCAGGUAGCCUAGUGGUUAGAGCGUAGGGGCGGCAGGUAGCCUAGUGGUUAGAGCGUAGGGGCAGCAGGGUAGCCUAGUGGUUAGAGUGUAGGGGUGGUAGGUAGCCUAGUGGUUAGAGCGUAGGGGCGGCAGGUAGCCUAGUGGUUAGAAUGUAGGGGAGGCAGGUAGCCUAGUGGUUAGAAUGUAGGGGCGGCAGGGUAGCCUAGUGGUUAGAGCGUAGGGACGGCAGGUAGCCUAGUGGUUAGAGUGUAGGGGCGGCAGGUAGCCUAGUGGUUAGAGCGUAGGGACAGCAGGUAGCCUAGUGGUUAGAGUGUAGGGA